ACCAAUCAUAAAAGUAAGAUCUUAAGAACACACUAACGUACAUCUAAUCGCGAUCCUUCCUACAUUCUCAAUGGCGAAUUUCUCAUCAUUUUCUCUUUCACAUUCAUCACAAUGUACCUAAGGUCUACCAGUGUUUCGUUAACAAUUGCCAUUAACAUCGUAUAAAUCAACAUCUAUCGUAACGAGUAUACGAAAAAAGAACCUCUCUUCGCUACAAAUAUCAGUGAAAAACUGUGUGAACCAGUUCCAGGCAGCGUUUCAAAGAAUUUCUUCGUUCGACAGGAGCAGAUGGAUCGGGGAUUUUCGUGUGGAGACUUCGCCAAGAAGUUGAUACGAUCUUCUUCGUAGAACGAUUUAAGCGAUCGUUCGUUUAUCGUAUUUUCUGAAGCAGUAUAUAACAAGAAAAAUAUUGAUCGACGGGGAAAUAUUCGAUCGAAGCGAAUCGAAGGUUGUCCAGGCAGGAACAAAAUAGAUUCGAGAAGACUUGGAGUGUGUAAUUGAAAGUGUUUUUACCGCGAGAUGGUUCAGGUAUGUAGAGGUGACUUUAAGGGAGGUAGACAUCACAGAAGAAAGAAAAACGAACAACCGCAUCUCCUCGUUAAUGUCCUCACAGCGUGAAGAGAAAUAAAUGGCUCAAAGGCGAUUCCUCUGUGGUUCGUAAAUAUUCUCGCGUCUCUAAUAUAAAGAACGCUACGUGGAAGGGAAACCGAAGAUGCUUGAUCCUUUCCUUCAUCUUCUUUCUUUUUCUUUUUUUUUUCUUUUCGGAAGCGGUAAGUCCAUUCUGGUUGACUGAAAUGAGAUUCUCUUCUUUUUUCUACUCUUUAUCAGUCACGGGUGGUAAUCCUAUUAACGGACACGAGAGAGGACAGCGGAUUUCCACGUAACCGAAUCGACAAUCCUAUUUAUCUGUAUUUUUUAAGCCGCAUAGCUGAAUCUAAAAAUACGAAGCACGUGUUAUUUAAAAAACGAGAACCAAAAAGCGAGAGAACCUGUCCGACCAGAGCUCGCCCUCCGCGUCUUAUUUCGUAGAAAUCGAGAAUGCUGGGGCUGCAUAUGCGUUGCAUUAUACCGACGUAGUAUCGGGUGAUGCGGUGACUAUAUCAAAAAGUAAAGAAAUCGUUGCAUGAAUUAAUGCCAAGGGGAGAUCCCAUUGAAAAGAAAGAGUGAAAAACCUGUCUCCGUCGUUACAUCGACAGUUACCUAAUAAAUACAGAGAGAGGUAAGGAGGAAGAAAUAGGUGAAGUAUGACGCAUUUGCGAGACGACUAAACACGGUAAAGGAAGAAGUGGUGGCUAAUUAAUCGACUUCUCGUGCAACGUGUGCAUUUCCCGUAAUCACGUUGUGUUCCAUACAAUAUCCACACAUAGAAAACAAUGAAAGUGGUCGUUUAGACAGAUCGGCGAUAUUACAAAACGUGCAGUAGUUGAGCGUGUUAACGGAACAAGAAACCAACUGGAAACAAUCAAAUUCUCGUCGAUGGUUCUUCCAAACGAGAUUGGUUGAUUCUUGCGAAACUUGGAACUCGUUCAGUUCGAUUCCUCGAAACCACCUACCGAGUGCAAUAAUCUUCUAGACGAUACGUAGAUUCCGAUUUGCAGAGAGAUCACGUUGAUUCGCAUCUAUUUUUGGACGAAGCAACGAGAAACAGAAUGUCUCGUGCGCAUCCACUGUGCCAUAUACGAGAUUGGUCUUAAAUUUGUGUAAAUCUACAAAUCAAAUCAAUAUAUAAAAUCAAAUAAUGCUAAACAGAAAACCUAACGAUGCAUACCAAGUUACUGUUAUUGGUAUUAUUCUUGCAACUUUCUAUCAAACAUACGAUGCACCGCGGUGUAAUGAUAAACUAUUACAAAUGUAGUCGCAACCAGUUUCAAUGGAGUAACAAAAAAGAAGGCAAAAAGACGUUUGUCCGUGCCAUGAACAGGUUCAAUGUCAGCGAUUGCGUAGGUUCCAUCAAACCGUUGGCAACACAGUUUUGACUCGUCACUGUAGACCAUGAAUUUUCUUGAUUACCAAUUAAACCAACCUUCCUCGUUUCCAUAUCCGCAUACGUCAUAACGGCACACAAUUUCGUGAAACUCGAAACUCCCAAGUUGAUUUUUCGUCUGCCAUACAAAUAACUAUGAAACAGCUGAAAAUGAAGCGUCUCGAAUACUAAUCGAGAAAAUGGAUAUCAGCCACGAUUUUCACGGUUACGAAACGGCGUAGAGGCCUAGCAAAAUCUGACGAAGGCUUGCAAUUUAUAGAUCCGCUGUGUAAACGUGUCCAGAGUCCAGAGCAAACAGGACAUGUCGUCGUCGUAAUAAUCAUAAAUACGCGAAUUAAAGGACGUAAAAAGAGGCUCUUGAUGAUAUUGUCUCGGCGAUGAUGGUGACAAUAAUGUGUAAUAUUUGGCUUCUGAUAACGCCUCUCCUUCGAUCCGCAACGCUAAGUAAUCGUAUCUUGAGCCAUACCGACUCUUUGACAUGGUAAGGUAGAGUUGUUUGAAUCGCCUAACAUCUCGAAAUUCAAUCUUGAACUUUUCACAGAAGAUAUAAUAAUAUAAUUGAUCUGGUUAAAUAUUAUGAGACACGACUAGUCUUUAAUAUAAUAACGAAAGAGUGUAGGUAUAGAAAAUAUCGCGUGUACUUUAGAUCCAGCAAGACCAAAAAAUACGGUGGAGUAUAAUUGUACGAAUUCUCUAGCAUUCUUUUGUUUAUCUAUCGAUCCAUGUCGCAUUGAUAAAACAACGGAGAAAUUCUAUGGCUCGCAAUCGUUGCUCCUUGUGUGGUCCUCACGGUCGAAUGUCGAUCAUGUGACCAUACAGAUAUCUUUGAUAACGCUAGAAAUCAGAGAAAAAGAUACAAAAGGAAUAUCGCAAAAAGACAAAAGUGAAAAUACGCGAAAAAAGGCAUAUUAAUCAGAAUACGAGUUAUCUACCCUUCCGGGAAACAUCGUGUCCGGUGAAUGAUAUGCACUGCAUGUUGACAAUAAUGAAAUGAGACCUUCGCUCGAGCGUUACUGCACGCCAUUCGAUGAAUAAUGCGUCGCUACUUAAACGACAUUUUGUUUACGUUUUUUAAGUGAAGCUAAGAGAGAGAGAGAGAGAGAGAGAGUAUAAAAUGAAUCUGAUAAAGAUAUAUAUGUAUUUUUAUUAAUAUUUGUCAUACAACUGUAUAUAUAACAAA
Bombus pascuorum is the source of this 3164-nucleotide long non-coding RNA. RefSeq lists it as uncharacterized. The record is from RefSeq and is a predicted model, not a curated record. The transcript has 2 exons. Lineage: Eukaryota; Metazoa; Arthropoda; Insecta; Hymenoptera; Apidae.